GACGAACGCUGGCGGCGUGCUUAACACAUGCAAGUCGAACGGAAAGGCCCUGCUUUUGUGGGGUGCUCGAGUGGCGAACGGGUGAGUAACACGUGAGUAACCUGCCCUUGACUUUGGGAUAACUUCAGGAAACUGGGGCUAAUACCGGAUAGGAGCUCCUGCUGCAUGGUGGGGGUUGGAAAGUUUCGGCGGUUGGGGAUGGACUCGCGGCUUAUCAGCUUGUUGGUGGGGUAGUGGCUUACCAAGGCUUUGACGGGUAGCCGGCCUGAGAGGGUGACCGGCCACAUGGGGACUGAGAUACGGCCCAGACUCCUACGGGAGGCAGCAGUGGGGAAUAUUGCACAAUGGGCGGAAGCCUGAUGCAGCAACGCCGCGUGCGGGAUGACGGCCUGCGGGUUGUAAACCGCUUUCGCCUGUGACGAAGCGUGAGUGACGGUAAUGGGUAAAGAAGCACCGGCUAACUACGUG
This 468-nucleotide ribosomal RNA is filed under the name uncultured bacterium. Its description in RNAcentral is "partial 16S ribosomal RNA". It matches the Rfam family "Bacterial small subunit ribosomal RNA", at positions 28 to 507 of the family's 1533-position model. The record is from RNAcentral.